AGGGCACCACCAGGAGUGGAGCCUGCGGCUUAAUUUGACUCAACACGGGAAAACUCACCCGGCCCGGACACUGGAAGGAUUGACAGAUUGAGAGCUCUUUCCUGAUUCAGUGGGUGGUGGUGCAUGGCCGUUCUUAGUUGGUGGAGUGAUUUGUCUGGUUAAUUCCGAUAACGAACGAGACUCUAGCCUAUUAAAUAGAUCGUUGGCUUACAAACGCCGGCGAGACUUCUUAGAGGGACAGGCGGCGAUUCAGCCGCACGAAACAGAGCAAUAACAGGUCUGUGAUGCCCUUAGAUGUCCGGGGCCGCACGCGCGCUACACUGAAGUGAUCAGCGUGCAUUUUGAAACCUACUCUGUCAAGAGUGGGGAACCCAAUGAACCUUCUUCGUGAUUGGGAUAGGGGAUUGUAAUUAUUCCCCUUGAACGAGGAAUUCCCAGUAAGCGCGAAUCAUAAGUUUGCGCUGAUUACGUCCCUGCCCUUUGUACACACCGCCCGUCGCUACUACCGAUUGAAUGUUU
Molecule: ribosomal RNA, 519 nt
Filed under: uncultured eukaryote
Lineage: Eukaryota
Description: SSU rRNA
Rfam family: Eukaryotic small subunit ribosomal RNA
Source: RNAcentral